CGUCGGUUCCUUCGCGACGCUAGCCUGCAAACUCCGCCAGGUCCGGAAGGAAGCAACGGUAGCAGGUGAUGCGGGUGCCGGAGAUCGGCUGGCGGAG
This 97-nucleotide signal recognition particle RNA is filed under the name Lysobacterales bacterium. Its description in RNAcentral is "signal recognition particle sRNA small type". It matches the Rfam family "Bacterial small signal recognition particle RNA". Rfam says of the family: The signal recognition particle (SRP) is a universally conserved ribonucleoprotein involved in the co-translational targeting of proteins to membranes. The record is from RNAcentral. RNAcentral also lists the same sequence under 2 other names. Lineage: Bacteria; Pseudomonadati; Pseudomonadota; Gammaproteobacteria; Lysobacterales.